UACGUAGGGGGCGAGCGUUGUCCGGAUUUAUUGGGCGUAAAGGGCGCGUAGGCGGUUCGUUAAGUCCUGUGUGAAAUCCCCCGGCUCAACUGGGGAACUGCACAGGAAACUAGCGGGCUUGAGUUCGGGAGAGGGAAGCGGAAUUCCGGGUGUAGCGGUGAAAUGCGUAGAUAUCCGGAGGAACACCGGUGGCGAAGGCGGCUUCCUGGACCGACACUGACGCUGAGGCGCGAAAGCUAGGGGAGCAAACGGG
This 253-nucleotide ribosomal RNA is filed under the name uncultured bacterium. RNAcentral's name for it is "partial 16S ribosomal RNA". It matches the Rfam family "Bacterial small subunit ribosomal RNA", at positions 524 to 776 of the family's 1533-position model. The record is from RNAcentral.